This 599-nucleotide ribosomal RNA is filed under the name Psychrobacter glaciei. RNAcentral's name for it is "bacterial SSU rRNA". It matches the Rfam family "Bacterial small subunit ribosomal RNA", at positions 78 to 675 of the family's 1533-position model. The record is from RNAcentral. Lineage: Bacteria; Pseudomonadati; Pseudomonadota; Gammaproteobacteria; Moraxellales; Moraxellaceae.
UUGCUAUCAGGCGUCGAGCGGCGGACGGGUGAGUAAUACUUAGGAAUCUACCUAGUAGUGGGGGAUAGCACGGGGAAACUCGUAUUAAUACCGCAUACGACCUACGGGAGAAAGGGGGCAGUUUACUGCUCUCGCUAUUAGAUGAGCCUAAGUCGGAUUAGCUAGAUGGUGGGGUAAAGGCCUACCAUGGCGACGAUCUGUAGCUGGUCUGAGAGGAUGAUCAGCCACACCGGGACUGAGACACGGCCCGGACUCCUACGGGAGGCAGCAGUGGGGAAUAUUGGACAAUGGGGGAAACCCUGAUCCAGCCAUGCCGCGUGUGUGAAGAAGGCCUUUUGGUUGUAAAGCACUUUAAGCAGUGAAGAAGACUCCGUGGUUAAUACCCACGGACGAUGACAUUAGCUGCAGAAUAAGCACCGGCUAACUCUGUGCCAGCAGCCGCGGUAAUACAGAGGGUGCAAGCGUUAAUCGGAAUUACUGGGCGUAAAGGGAGCGUAGGUGGCUCGAUAAGUCAGAUGUGAAAUCCCCGGGCUCAACCUGGGAACUGCAUCUGAUACUGUUGAGCUAGAGUAUGUGAGAGGAAGGUAGAAUUCCAGGUG